Long non-coding RNA from Mytilus californianus (California mussel), 1615 nucleotides. RefSeq lists it as uncharacterized. The transcript is spliced from 2 exons. NCBI's taxonomy places the organism in Eukaryota, Metazoa, Mollusca, Bivalvia, Mytilida, Mytilidae. The record is from RefSeq and is a predicted model, not a curated record.
UGUUCUUAAUUUUCCGGUUUCUGCACUGUGCAACUAUACAGUUGCAUUUUUAAUUAACGAUGCCAAGUACUUGUUGUUGUGUACCUGGAUGUCAUUUAAGAGGAGGACAUGCAUUUCCAAAUGACUUAAAAAGAAGGAAAAGUUGGAUCAACGCCAUGGCCCAUUCGCAGAUUGGACGAGAACACGAUGAAAUCGUGGAGUCCAUCUCAAUCAGCUGUUCAGCCUGUUGUUUGCAAGGCACAUUUUACUGAAAAAGACUACGUGCAGGAAACUAUUCAUGGGCGCAAACCCACCAUGCAGAGACUUAAUUCUACUGCCAUUCCCAGCCUAUUUUCCUGGACCAAGCAAGAGACUGAAUCGUCCGCAAAAAGAAAAAUCAGGGCAGGUUCCUGUGAAAACAAAAGAACUAAGUUUCAAGUUUUAUUAAAUCAGGAAAAUCAAUACAAAGUAUAAUGAUGUCUUCCCCCACAUUAACAUGAUAUUACAUCAGAUAGAUAAAUAUAUAUUAUGUAUGACAAAAUAUCAAAUCAAGGUUAAAACUAAACUUGAUGAAUAUUGUAGUAGAAAUCUAGAGGAAAGUUUUGAUUGUAAAGUUGGUUUUCCUGAAGAAGUCAUUCAUACUGCAGACAGGAUUUAUGACUGUCCACCACAAACUGCCGAGCUAAUGUUGAGCUUCACAGAUGGAAUUACGCAAACACCAUCAAUGCCUAUAUAUUCAGCAGAGAAUUUUGAAAUGAAGACACGUGACACAGCCAUGCAUUUUUAUACCUGUUUAGAGUUGUAUACUACAAUUUUAUUUGUUUUGACCACACUUGGUCCAGCAGCACAUUGUUUGAGAUACAUAUAUUUUCAAAUUGAUAGGGUGUCAUUUGAAAAUCAGUUUUUUUAUGACUUUGAUGAAAUUGAGGCAUUAUACAACCAACUUUGAACUGUUCAGAUUCUAGAUUGAAACUAGUGUUAAGAAUGUUGUGUAAACAUGGAUUGUUUUUAUUUUUAAACAGUGGCGUGAGGCUAACACUUGGCCAUUUAGUGGUUAAGUCAGGUAUUUUUCGCCAUCCAACUUCAAAUUAAAGUUUCCUACAACUUGGAUUAUUAUUGACAGCACAGAAUAUCCCGUGAUAAAACCUAAAGCUCCUAGAGCUCAGGCAACCUUUUCAUCAUAUAAAAACAGAAACACUGAAAAUACUCGUACAUGUAUGUUCGACACCUGGUGGUUUAGUCAUCUAUGUCUCUAAUGCAUAUGUUGGUUGUACCAGUGACUGUGAAAUAGUUGAAAGAUGUAGAAUAGUUCAAUUAUGUGAUCCAGGUGACAGUGUGAUGGCAGACAAAGGUUUAAAUGUGCAAGAUUUGUUUGCUCACUUUUUUCAAAAAAAGAAACAGAAUUAGUUCCAAAACUCAUAUACGGGAUAGAAAAGUCUCCAAUUAACACGUGCACAUAGAGCUAAUUAUUGGACUUGGCAAAACAUACAAAAUUCUAAUAAAUCCUAUGAAUGGAACUGAAACAAAACUUUCAUCUGAAAUAACAUUUAGUUGUUUUAUGUUGUGUAAUUUUAGAACUUGUAUUGUGCCAACAUGACAUGGCCAAAGGAUGCAUAAAUAAAAGUGACGCAAUGAA